UUGACACUUUUUAAAGUACUAGCCGUUUACUGAAGCUGUUUGUUUCAAGCAGGAGCCUAAAGAAUUGUCUUUCUAUGGUCUGUUGGCCAUUUCAGAACUUUGGAAAUGUAAUGGUCAAUUCAUUAGAAAGAAACAGUA
Nycticebus coucang (slow loris) is the source of this 138-nucleotide small nucleolar RNA. Lineage: Eukaryota; Metazoa; Chordata; Mammalia; Primates; Lorisidae. The record is from RefSeq and is a predicted model, not a curated record.